RNAcentral lists this ribosomal RNA (460 nucleotides) under uncultured bacterium. RNAcentral's name for it is "partial 16S ribosomal RNA". It matches the Rfam family "Bacterial small subunit ribosomal RNA", at positions 338 to 795 of the family's 1533-position model. The record is from RNAcentral.
CCUACGGGAGGCAGCAGUGAGGAAUAUUGGUCAAUGGGCUUACGCCUGAACCAGCCAAGUCGCGUGAGGGAAGACUGCCCUAUGGGUUGUAAACCUCUUUUGUCAGGGAGCAAUUGGCGCUACGUGUAGCGUUAUCGAGAGUACCUGAAGAAAAAGCAUCGGCUAACUCCGUGCCAGCAGCCGCGGUAAUACGGAGGAUGCGAGCGUUAUCUGGAUUUAUUGGGUUUAAAGGGUGCGUAGGCGGAAUGCCAAGUCAGCGGUAAAAUCGCGGGGCUCAACCUCGCUCCGCCGUUGAAACUGGCGUGCUUGAGUGGGCGAGAAGUAUGCGGAAUGCGUGGUGUAGCGGUGAAAUGCAUAGAUAUCACGCAGAACUCCGAUUGCGAAGGCAGCAUACCGGCGCCCAACUGACGCUGAAGCACGAAAGCGUGGGUAUCGAACAGGAUUAGAUACCCUUGUAGUC